RNAcentral lists this ribosomal RNA (490 nucleotides) under uncultured bacterium. Its description in RNAcentral is "partial 16S ribosomal RNA". It matches the Rfam family "Bacterial small subunit ribosomal RNA", at positions 30 to 507 of the family's 1533-position model. The record is from RNAcentral.
AUUGAACGCUGGCGGCAGGCCUAACACAUGCAAGUCGAAUGGUAACAGGAAACAGCUUGCUGUUUCGCUGACGAGUGGCGGACGGGUGAGUAAUGUCUGGGAAACUGCCUGAUGGAGGGGGAUAACUACUGGAAACGGUAGCUAAUACCGCAUAACGUCGCAAGACCAAAGAGGGGGACCUUCGGGCCUCUUGCCAUCAGAUGUGCCCAGAUGGGAUUAGCUAGUAGGUGGGGUAACGGCUCACCUAGGCGACGAUCCCUAGCUGGUCUGAGAGGAUGACCAGCCACACUGGAACGUAGACACGGUCCAGACUCCUACGGGAGGCAGCAGUGGGGAAUAUUGCACAAUGGGCGCAAGCCUGAUGCUGCCAUGCCGCGUGUAUGAAGAAGGCCUUCGGGUUGUAAAGUACUUUCAGCGGGGAGGAAGGGAGUAAAGUUAAUACCUUUGCUCAUUGACGUUACCCGCAGAAGAAGCACCGGCUAACUCCGUG